RNAcentral lists this ribosomal RNA (508 nucleotides) under uncultured bacterium. RNAcentral describes it as "partial 16S ribosomal RNA". It matches the Rfam family "Bacterial small subunit ribosomal RNA", at positions 28 to 507 of the family's 1533-position model. The record is from RNAcentral.
GACGAACGCUGGCGGCGUGCCUAAUACAUGCAAGUCGAACGCUUCUUUCCUCCCGAGUGCUUGCACUCAAUUGGAAAGAGGAGUGGCGGACGGGUGAGUAACACGUGGGUAACCUACCCAUCAGAGGGGGAUAACACUUGGAAACAGGUGCUAAUACCGCAUAACAGUUUAUGCCGCAUGGCAUAAGAGUGAAAGGCGCUUUCGGGUGUCGCUGAUGGAUGGACCCGCGGUGCAUUAGCUAGUUGGUGAGGUAACGGCUCACCAAGGCCACGAUGCAUAGCCGACCUGAGAGGGUGAUCGGCCACACUGGGACUGAGACACGGCCCAGACUCCUACGGGAGGCAGCAGUAGGGAAUCUUCGGCAAUGGACGAAAGUCUGACCGAGCAACGCCGCGUGAGUGAAGAAGGUGUUCGGAUCGUAAAACUCUGUUGUUAGAGAAGAACAAGGACGUUAGUAACUGAACGUCCCCUGACGGUAUCUAACCAGAAAGCCGCGGCUAACUACGUG